This 447-nucleotide ribosomal RNA is filed under the name Triticum aestivum (bread wheat). RNAcentral describes it as "partial small subunit ribosomal RNA". Lineage: Eukaryota; Viridiplantae; Streptophyta; Magnoliopsida; Poales; Poaceae. The record is from RNAcentral.
AUGGUCCCACAUCGAGCUUCGUGUUUUCUCCACAGCCACAGCAACACGGUCCCUCGCCGAGCUUCGUGUUAUCUCCACAGCCACAGUAGCACGGUCCCUCGUCCAGUUUCGUGUUUGAGCCAGAGCAGACGUCACAGCCAGCAGAUGGCUAAGGGUACUCAGUGGGUGCUUAGCCCUAUUGUUCAUGUCCAAGGCUUUUCUCCAAGUGUUGUGCAAGUUAGUGAAGUGGACCUCACUUUUGAUUGGUUGAAGACUAAAUUCAUGUUGAAGCAAGGGUUGAAGGAAGACGAUUUUGUGUACUACGUCAGCAGUAAGCAGUCAGAUGGCCCUGGGGAAAGAAAAUUGAUUGACAUAACUGAUGAUGGCAAGAUUCAAGAAAUGCUGAGCGAAUGGGAAUGGAAAAGGGUUGUUGAGUUGCAUUGCUACAGGAAACCGAGUUAUAUGUGA